Molecule: long non-coding RNA, 378 nt
Organism: Mustela erminea (ermine)
Lineage: Eukaryota; Metazoa; Chordata; Mammalia; Carnivora; Mustelidae
Exons: 2
Source: RefSeq, a predicted model, not a curated record
ACACUGUUCUCCAGAUUGGCUGUGCCACUUGACAUUCCCACCAGUGAUGUGUGGAAGAUCCAGUUUCUUCACAUCUUCAUCAGCAUUUGGCUGAGAACCUACUCACUAAAGACGGGUGGAGGAAGAGCCUGCCCAAAAGAGCUCAGAGCUAACAGAAGGAGUAGGGAGGAAUCUAACAAGCUAGGAAGGAAAUGGGCCAACCUGUCCAGGGAAGAAGCUGCGAUUACCAGGGCAAUGAGCUACUUUGCAUCACUCAGUGCAGUGCCUGUGCGAGGUGGACAGGACUGCCCAGGAAUCCAGGGGUGUGCGGGCAGAUUCCAGAUUAGUGUUAAGGUGGACCCUGGUUAAUAGAGAAAGCUUCAAAGGAUAUGAAUUUAA